AUGAUUGGGCGUAAGCGUCCGCAGGUGGCUAUGUAAGUCUGCUGUUAAAGAGUGAGCGCUCAACCUCAUAAGAGCAGUGGAAACUACAUGGCUAGAGUACGUUCGGGGCAGAGGGAAUUCCUGGUGUAGCGGUGAAAUGCGUAGAUAUCAGGAAGAACACCGGUGGCGAAAGCGCUCUGCUAGGCCGUAACUGACACUGAGGGACGAAAGCUAGGGGAGCGAAUGGGAUUAGAUACCCCAGUAGUCCUAGCCGUAAACGAUGGAUACUAGGCGUGGCUUGUAUCGACCCGAGCCGUGCCGUAGCUAACGCGUUAAGUAUCCCGCCUGGGGAGUACGCACGCAAGUGUGAAACUCAAAGGAAUUGACGGGGGCCCGCACAAGCGGUGGAGUAUGUGGUUUAAUUCGAUGCAACGCGAAGAACCUUACCAAGACUUGACAUGUCGCGAACCUUUGUGAAAGCAGAGGGUGCCUUCGGGAGCGCGAACACAGGUGGUGCAUGGCUGUCGUCAGCUCGUGUCGUGAGAUGUUGGGUUAAGUCCCGCAACGAGCGCAACCCUCGUUUUUAGUUGCCAGCAUUAAGUUGGGCACUCUAGAGAGACUGCCGGUGACAAACCGGAGGAAGGUGGGGAUGACGUCAAGUCAGCAUGCCCCUUACGUCUUGGGCUACACACGUACUACAAUGCUACGGACAAAGGGCAGCAAGCGUGCGAACGCAAGCAAAUCUCAUAAACCGUAGCUCAGUUCAGAUCGAAGGCUGCAACUCGCCUUCGUGAAGGAGGAAUCGCUAGUAAUUGCAGGUCAGCAUACUGCAGUGAAUUCGUUCCCGGGCCUUGUACACACCGCCCGUCACACCAUGGAAGCUGGUAGUGCCCGAAGUCAUUACUCCAACCUUUCGGGGGGGAGGAUGCCUAAGGCAGGACUGGUGACUGGGGUGAAGUCGUAACAAGGUAGCCGUACCGGAAGGUGUGGCUGGAUCACCUCCUUUUAGGGAGACCGAAUCCACUCAAAAAUCGAAAGCACACAGCAAAUAGAUGAUGAGUUGGUCAUUCCUAGGUCGGUCGAGAUUGGUAAAAGCUUUCAAAGUAUUUAAGUUCGGUUUAAAUUUGAGUUGAAAAACAAUCGGAAAUACUGGGAAUAGUGAUUCAGCAACAUGGCAAUAGCCAGACUGCUGGGUUAUUCCAGCCAGAACCUUGAAAACUGCAUAGUAACGCG
Molecule: ribosomal RNA, 1212 nt
Filed under: Roholtiella sp. QUCCCM97
Lineage: Bacteria; Bacillati; Cyanobacteriota; Cyanophyceae; Nostocales; Fortieaceae
Description: bacterial SSU rRNA
Rfam family: Bacterial small subunit ribosomal RNA (bases 1-985)
Source: RNAcentral